GGGGGGGUAGCUCAGUGGGUAGAGCGCAGCGAAUUUGCUUCCUGAGGUCCUGGGUUCGAAACCCAGUUCUCCCA
Molecule: non-coding RNA, 74 nt
Organism: Podospora conica
Lineage: Eukaryota; Fungi; Ascomycota; Sordariomycetes; Sordariales; Podosporaceae
Source: the annotation of a GenBank genome assembly